GGGUCGGUAGGUUGGUCGUGCCACCGGUACGUACUGGUCUCACUGAUUCCUCCUUCCUGAAGAACCGUAAUGCCAUUAAUUUGGUGUUGCGGGGAAACAGGACUGUUACUUUGAAAAAAUUAGAGUGUUCAAAGCAAGCUAACGCUUGAAUACAUUAGCAUGGAAUAUUGAAAUAGGACGAUCGAUCCUAUUUUGUUGGUUUCUAGGAUUGACGUA
RNAcentral lists this ribosomal RNA (216 nucleotides) under Glomeromycotina sp. Its description in RNAcentral is "partial small subunit ribosomal RNA". The stretch from base 40 to 216 matches the Rfam family "Eukaryotic small subunit ribosomal RNA", at positions 686 to 864 of the family's 1831-position model. Lineage: Eukaryota; Fungi; Glomeromycota. The record is from RNAcentral.